AUUGAACGCUGGCGGCAGGCCUAACACAUGCAAGUCGAGCGGAUGAUGAGAGCUUGCUCUCUGAUUCAGCGGCGGACGGGUGAGUAAUGCCUAGGAAUCUGCCUGGUAGUGGGGGACAACGUUUCGAAAGGAACGCUAAUACCGCAUACGUCCUACGGGAGAAAGCAGGGGACCUUCGGGCCUUGCGCUAUCAGAUGAGUCUAGGUCGGAUUAGCUAGUAGGUGAGGUAAUGGCUCACCUAGGCGACGAUCCGUAACUGGUCUGAGAGGAUGAUCAGUCACACUGGAACUGAGACACGGUCCAGACUCCUACGGGAGGCAGCAGUGGGGAAUAUUGGACAAUGGGCGAAAACCUGAUCCAGCCAUGCCGCGUGUGUGAAGAAGGUCUUCGGAUUGUAAAGCACUUUAAGUUGGGAGGAAGGGCAGUAAGUUAAUACCUUGCUGUUUUGACGUUACCAACAGAAUAAGCACCGGCUAACUUCGUGCCAGCAGCCGACGG
This 498-nucleotide ribosomal RNA is filed under the name uncultured bacterium. Its description in RNAcentral is "bacterial SSU rRNA". It matches the Rfam family "Bacterial small subunit ribosomal RNA", at positions 30 to 520 of the family's 1533-position model. The record is from RNAcentral.